UACGUAGGGUCCGAGCGUUGUCCGGAAUUACUGGGCGUAAAGAGCUCGUAGGUGGUUUGUCGCGUUGUUCGUGAAAACUCACAGCUUAACUGUGGGCGUGCGGGCGAUACGGGCAGACUUGAGUACUGCAGGGGAGACUGGAAUUCCUGGUGUAGCGGUGAAAUGCGCAGAUAUCAGGAGGAACACCGGUGGCGAAGGCGGGUCUCUGGGCCGAUACUGACGCUGAGGAACGAAAGCUAGGGGAGCAAACAGG
RNAcentral lists this ribosomal RNA (253 nucleotides) under uncultured bacterium. RNAcentral's name for it is "partial 16S ribosomal RNA". It matches the Rfam family "Bacterial small subunit ribosomal RNA", at positions 524 to 776 of the family's 1533-position model. The record is from RNAcentral.